CCUACGGGUGACAGCAGUGGGGAAUAUUGGGCAAUGGGCGCAAGCCUGACCCAGCAACGCCGCGUGAAGGAAGAAGGCCCUCGGGUUGUAAACUUCUUUUGUCAGGGACGAAACAAAUGACGGUACCUGACGAAUAAGCCACGGCUAACUACGUGCCAGCAGCCGCGGUAAUACGUAGGUGGCAAGCGUUAUCCGGAUUUACUGGGUGUAAAGGGCGUGUAGGCGGGAGAGCAAGUCAGAUGUGAAAUUCCAGGGCUCAACCCUGGAACUGCAUUUGAAACUGUUUUUCUUGAGUGAUGGAGAGGCAGGCGGAAUUCCGUGUGUAGCGGUGAAAUGCGUAGAUAUCACGCAGAACCCCGGUUGCGAAGGCAGCCUUCCGGCGCCCUACUGACGCUGAGGCGCGAAAGUGCGGGGAUCGAACAGGAUUAGAUACCCCGGUAGUC
RNAcentral lists this ribosomal RNA (443 nucleotides) under uncultured bacterium. RNAcentral describes it as "partial 16S ribosomal RNA". It matches the Rfam family "Bacterial small subunit ribosomal RNA", at positions 338 to 795 of the family's 1533-position model. The record is from RNAcentral.